RNAcentral lists this long non-coding RNA (793 nucleotides) under Mytilus galloprovincialis (Mediterranean mussel). The record is from RNAcentral. Lineage: Eukaryota; Metazoa; Mollusca; Bivalvia; Mytilida; Mytilidae.
CCGAUGCCUGAAUUAUAUAUGAAGGUAAGGAAGCUUUCUAAAGAAUUUUACUUUAAACAUCGAUUAAAAACGUCCAUGUCAUCAAUUUUUUAUAUCACUAUACCACUUUUUAACUCUCGGAUUACAAAGUAUAAACAAUUUACAAGAGUAGCCCAUUUGAUUAUAUAUUCAAUGCCAGUACAGAAUUAUCCCAUUUCAGGUUUAAUUAUGUAAUUGGUUUUAAGCAAAGCAUAAAUCUAUACAGUAAAGUACAAAUUUUGAUUCAUUAUUCACAGUUUAACACAUAUAUAAAAUCAAUCUAACUUUCACCUUUACCUCCAGAGGAAAUCUUCCCAUUCCUUCACAAACCAUGCGUAGUGUUGCUAACUUGCCGUGUCCUUUUGCAGAAUUUCAAGUGAGUCUGUUGCAUGAAAUUUGUUUGAUUGUUAUCUCAUUUUUUAAAUCGUAUCUGUGACGUAUCCUUAAUUGAGUAAAGACAAGUACGAUAGGUACAACACAUAACACACUGUAAUAAUUUGACUAGCAAGCUCACAAUACUCUUCAACUUAAAACAAAAGAUACCACAGCUUGCUGCGGUUUUGUUUUGAUGUCCUUAAAUGUUGUAAGCAUUUUGCUUUACUUUAUUUUGGUUGUGUCAAACGGAUAGAGUGCGCAAACGAUAAGACAAUAUUCAGUUCCACGUGUGAUUGAAUGUUAUUAUACAGCAAUCAAAGUAAAAUAUCUAUUGCCAUAAGCAGGUGAUACGAUAAUUAAUACUUUUUAAUUGUGUCUCGCAUGAACUGAAAUAAGGUUU